RNAcentral lists this ribosomal RNA (829 nucleotides) under uncultured bacterium. RNAcentral describes it as "bacterial SSU rRNA". It matches the Rfam family "Bacterial small subunit ribosomal RNA", at positions 383 to 1219 of the family's 1533-position model. The record is from RNAcentral.
CUGACCGAGCAACGCCGCGUGAAUGACGAAGUACUUCGGUAUGUAAAGUUCUUUUAUCAAGGAAGAAAAGCAAAUGGCGAACCAUUUGUUUGCCGGUACUUGAUGAAUAAGCCCCGGCUAAUUAUGUGCCAGCAGCCGCGGUAAGACAUAAGGGGCAAGUGUUAUCCGGAAUUAUUGGGCGUAAAGGGUGCGUAGGCGGUCUAGUAAGUCAGUGGUGUAAUGGCAACGCUUAACGUUGUCCGGCUAUUGAAACUGCUAAACUUGAGUUAGAUAGAGGCGAGUGGAAUUCCAUGUGUAGCGGUAAAAUGCGUAAAUAUAUGGAGGAACACCAGAGGCGUAGGCGGCUCGCUGGGUCUUAACUGACGCUGAGGCACGAAAGCGUGGGGAGCAAACAGGAUUAGAUACCCUGGUAGUCCACGCCGUAAACGAUGAGUACUAAGUGUCGGGUUAAACCGGUACUGAAGUUAACACAUUAAGUACUCCGCCUGAGUAGUACGUACGCAAGUAUGAAACUUAAAGGAAUUGACGGGACUCCGCACAAGCGGUGGAUCAUGUUGUUUAAUUCGAAGAUACCCGAAAAACCUUACCAGGUCUUGACAUGUUUUUGCAAAAUGAUAGUAAUAUCGUGGAGGUUACCAGAAACACAGGUGGUGCAUGGUUGUCGUCAGCUCGUGUCGUGAGAUGUUAGGUUAAGUCCUAAAACGAGCGAAACCCUUAUCGUUAGUUGCCAGCACGUUAUGGUGGGGACUUUAACGAGACUGCCAAUGAUAAAUUGGAGGAAGGUGAGGAUCACGUCAAAUCAGCAUGCCCCUUAUGACCUGGGCUACAA